Molecule: ribosomal RNA, 247 nt
Filed under: uncultured bacterium
Lineage: Bacteria
Description: partial 16S ribosomal RNA
Rfam family: Bacterial small subunit ribosomal RNA
Source: RNAcentral
AGAGUUUGAUCAUGGCUCAGGACGAACGCUGGCGGCGUGCUUAACAUAUGCAAGUCGAACGAAGAGAGGUGCUUCGGUAUUUCUCUUAGUGGCGGACUGGUGAGUAACACGUGAGUAACCUGCCUCAUACAGGGGGAUAACUGGAAGAAAUUUCAGCUAAUACCGCAUAAUACAAGAAAUCGCAUGGUUGAAGAGUUUAAAAGGAGGAAAUCCCGGGUAAUGAGAAUGGGAACUCGCGCAUCAUUAG